GGAGAGGUCGCAUAGUCCGGUCGAGUGCGCGUGUUUGGAGUACACGUGAGCCUUUUUGGCUCCGGGAGUUCGAAUCUCCCCCUCUCCGCCA
This 91-nucleotide transfer RNA is filed under the name Candidatus Omnitrophota bacterium. RNAcentral's name for it is "tRNA-Ser". It matches the Rfam family "tRNA". From Rfam's summary of the family: Transfer RNA (tRNA) molecules are approximately 80 nucleotides in length. Lineage: Bacteria; Pseudomonadati; Candidatus Omnitrophota. The record is from RNAcentral.